This 253-nucleotide ribosomal RNA is filed under the name uncultured bacterium. RNAcentral describes it as "partial 16S ribosomal RNA". It matches the Rfam family "Bacterial small subunit ribosomal RNA", at positions 524 to 776 of the family's 1533-position model. The record is from RNAcentral.
UACGUAGGGUGCAAGCGUUGUCCGGAUUUACUGGGCGUAAAGAGCGCGCAGGCGGUCGAUUUAGUCGCGUGUGAAAGCCCCCGGCUCAACUGGGGAGGGUCACGCGAUACUGAUCGACUCGAAGGCAGGAGAGGGUAGUGGAAUUCCCGGUGUAGUGGUGAAAUGCGUAGAUAUCGGGAGGAACACCAGUGGCGAAGGCGACUACCUGGCCUGUUCUUGACGCUGAGGCGCGAAAGCUAGGGGAGCAAACAGG